UUUUGUUUUUAACUGAAAGCUGAGCGCUGAAAGCGAAGGGCUAAGGAGCUGACAGCUGAGAGCUAUCAGCUAACUUAGUGGCGGACGGGUGAGUAACACGUAGGUAACCAACCCUCAAGCGGGGGACAACUCUUCGAAAGGAGAGCUAAUACCGCAUAAGCUCACGGACUGGGAUGUCUGUGAGAAAAGGAGCAAUUCACUUGAGGAUGGGCCUGCGGCCUAUCAGGUAGUUGGCGGGGUAACGGCCCACCAAGCCUAAGACGGGUAGCCGGACUGAGAGGUUGAACGGCCACACUGGAACUGAGACACGGUCCAGACUCCUACGGGAGGCAGCAGUGGGGAAUUUUGCGCAAUGGGGGAAACCCUGACGCAGCGACGCCGCGUGGAGGAUGAAGGUCUUCGGAUUGUAAACUCCUUUUGUCGGGGAAGAUAAUGACGGUACCCGGCGAAUAAGCCACGGCUAACUCUGUG
Molecule: ribosomal RNA, 471 nt
Filed under: uncultured bacterium
Lineage: Bacteria
Description: bacterial SSU rRNA
Rfam family: Bacterial small subunit ribosomal RNA
Source: RNAcentral